Molecule: ribosomal RNA, 492 nt
Filed under: uncultured bacterium
Lineage: Bacteria
Description: partial 16S ribosomal RNA
Rfam family: Bacterial small subunit ribosomal RNA
Source: RNAcentral
AGUGAACGCUGGCGGUAGGCCUAACACAUGCAAGUCGAACGGCAGCACAGUAAGAGCUUGCUCUUACGGGUGGCGAGUGGCGGACGGGUGAGGAAUACAUCGGAAUCUACUUUUUCGUGGGUGAUAACGUAGGGAAACUUACGCUAAUACCGCAUACGACCUACGGGUGAAAGCAGGGGAUCUUCGGACCUUGCGCGAUUGAAUGAGCCGAUGUCGGAUUAGCUAGUUGGCGGGGUAAAGGCCCACCAAGGCGACGAUCCGUAGCUGGUCUGAGAGGAUGAUCAGCCACACUGGAACUGAGACACGGUCCAGACUCCUACGGGAGGCAGCAGUGGGGACUAUUGGACAAUGGGCGCAAGCCUGAUCCAGCCAUACCGCGUGGGUGAAGAAGGCCUUCGGGUUGUAAAGCCCUUUUGUUGGGAAAGAAAAGCAGCAGGUUAAUACCCCGCUGUUCUGACGGUACCCAAAGAAUAAGCACCGGCUAACUUCGUG